Molecule: ribosomal RNA, 487 nt
Filed under: uncultured Verrucomicrobiota bacterium
Lineage: Bacteria; Pseudomonadati; Verrucomicrobiota
Description: bacterial SSU rRNA
Rfam family: Bacterial small subunit ribosomal RNA
Source: RNAcentral
GAGGAGCCCGCGGCCUAUCAGCUUGUUGGUGAGGUAACGGCUUACCAAGGCUUUGACGGGUAGCUGGUCUGAGAGGACGACCAGCCACACUGGGACUGAGACACGGCCCAGACACCUACGGGUGGCAGCAGUCGAGAAUUUUUCUCAAUGGGGGAAACCCUGAAGGAGCGACGCCGCGUGGAGGAUGAAGGUCUUCGGAUUGUAAACUCCUGCCAUUGGGGAACAAUGGUUACGCGUUAACUGCGCGUGACUUGAUAGUACUCGAAGAGGAAGAGACGGCUAACUCUGUGCCAGCAGCCGCGGUAAUACAGAGGUCUCAAGCGUUGUUCGGAUUCAUUGGGCGUAAAGGGUGCGUAGGCGGCGCGGUAAGUCGGGUGUGAAAUCUCGGGGCUUAACUCCGAAACUGCAUUCGAUACUGCCGUGCUUGAGGACUGGAGAGGAGACUGGAAUUUACGGUGUAGCAGUGAAAUGCGUAGAUAUCGUAAGG